UACGUAGGGUGCAAGCGUUAAUCGGAAUUACUGGGCGUAAAGCGUGCGCAGGCGGUUGUGCAAGACCGAUGUGAAAUCCCCGGGCUUAACCUGGGAAUGGCAUCGGUGACUGUACGGCUAGAGUGUGUCAGAGGGGGGUAGAACUCCACGUGUAGCAGUGAAAUGCGUAGAGAUGUGGAGGAAUACCGAUGGCGAAGGCAGCCCCCUGGGAUAACACUGACGCUCAUGCACGAAAGCGUGGGUAGCAAACAGG
This 253-nucleotide ribosomal RNA is filed under the name uncultured bacterium. RNAcentral's name for it is "partial 16S ribosomal RNA". It matches the Rfam family "Bacterial small subunit ribosomal RNA", at positions 524 to 776 of the family's 1533-position model. The record is from RNAcentral.